RNAcentral lists this ribosomal RNA (339 nucleotides) under uncultured bacterium. RNAcentral's name for it is "SSU rRNA". It matches the Rfam family "Bacterial small subunit ribosomal RNA", at positions 26 to 372 of the family's 1533-position model. The record is from RNAcentral.
AGGACGAACGCUGGCGGCGCGCCUAAGUACAUGCAAGUCGAACGGGUACCUCUUCGGAGGUGCUAGUGGCGGACGGGUGAGUAACACGUGGGCGACCUGCCUUUGAGUGGGGAAUAACGCUGGGAAACCAGCGCUAAUACCGCAUGCGCUCGCCGUUUCAUUACGGCGAGGAAAGCUUGAUGCGCUCAAAGAGGGGCCUGCGGCGGAUUAGCUAGUCGGUGGGGUAACGGCCUACCGAGGCAUCGAUCCGUAGCUGGUCUGAGAGGAUGAUCAGCCACACUGGGACUGAGACACGGCCCAGACUCCUACGGGAGGCAGCAGUAAGGAAUCUUCCACAAU